CUGCAGGACCAGGUGGAAAAACUCUCGCACAUUGGAAAUAUUACUGCUGCAUACAAAGGAUCAUCUCCCCCAGAGUGACGAUCGAAUCAAAGAGGGGUUGAUAUAUGUCAUUUUUGCAUCUCCAGAAACAUUGGUUGGUGAUCCCUAUUGGAGAACUUGUUUAAAGAAGUUUAACAUUAAGUUGAUUGUAAUUGAUGAGUUUCACACAAUAGCAAUUUGGGGCCAAGAUGAAGGAGACAGAAAAGAUCCCUCUUUCCUGAUGCUACAGUAUUGGCUUUAAGUGCAACUU
Molecule: long non-coding RNA, 289 nt
Organism: Mytilus californianus (California mussel)
Lineage: Eukaryota; Metazoa; Mollusca; Bivalvia; Mytilida; Mytilidae
Exons: 3
Source: RefSeq, a predicted model, not a curated record